AUUGAACGCUGGCGGCAGGCCUAACACAUGCAAGUCGAGCGGAUGAAGGGAGCUUGCUCCUGGAUUCAGCGGCGGACGGGUGAGUAAUGCCUAGGAAUCUGCCUGGUAGUGGGGGAUAACGUCCGGAAACGGGCGCUAAUACCGCAUACGUCCUGAGGGAGAAAGUGGGGGAUCUUCGGACCUCACGCUAUCAGAUGAGCCUAGGUCGGAUUAGCUAGUUGGUGGGGUAAAGGCCUACCAAGGCGACGAUCCGUAACUGGUCUGAGAGGAUGAUCAGUCACACUGGAACUGGAACACGGUCCAGGCUCCUACGGGAGGCAGCAGUGGGGAAUAUUGGACAGUGGGCGAAAGCCUGAUCCAGCCAUGCCGCGUGUGUGAAGAAGGUCUUCGGAUUGUAAAGCACUUUAAGUUGGGAGGAAGGGCAGUAAGUUAAUACCUUGCUGUUUUGACGUUACCAACAGAAUAAGCACCGGCUAACUUCGUG
Molecule: ribosomal RNA, 484 nt
Filed under: uncultured bacterium
Lineage: Bacteria
Description: partial 16S ribosomal RNA
Rfam family: Bacterial small subunit ribosomal RNA
Source: RNAcentral